Molecule: long non-coding RNA, 1704 nt
Organism: Rhipicephalus sanguineus (brown dog tick)
Lineage: Eukaryota; Metazoa; Arthropoda; Arachnida; Ixodida; Ixodidae
Exons: 5
Source: RefSeq, a predicted model, not a curated record
GUUCUGCGUUCGUGUGAUCGUCGUGCCGAGUUCUGUUUGUGCGGUCGACUUUUAACGCGCUGCCUCGCAUUGUGUGUAUUGUGUGUUGUAUUUCGUGGUUACUGACGUAAGCGCAACUAUACGCGGUACCAGGCAAAUAGUCACCAGAUGCCGACCGUGCGACUUCAAUCUCUGCGACUGCUUUGUUCGGUGUGACCGACGGACGCGAUUCAUAGUUUUGAAGAACACCUUCUUCAAAUGUUUCCGCACGUCAGUGAGUAGCAGCGCCGCAAUCCUUUGUCGACGACGCGUUCUGUCGCCCUGGAAAAUGCUUUGACGCUCGGGGACGGCCGGUAGCUCGGCGAUUCCUCGCUUGGCGCACCAUUGGAAACCGGCGGUCAUCUAGCAGUGUACGCUGCCAGCGUAUUUUUUAUUGCCAGAGGUAGCAAACAGCAGUGCCUCGACAAACAGUGGAGUGCUGACCAUGCAGUCCAGAAGGUGGCUGAGGCAAGUAUGCUAUAGGAGGUGCUUAUUCAGGCAGAAGAAAUAAGCAUCUGUAGCCAGCGUAAAGGAAGCAUCUUCAAAAAGCAGUGCUACAAGGAUGUGAGCAGCAGUUUCCCUUCAACGAACAGGUCAAAUUCAUGGAAGCCACGUGCCUGCUGCUUCUGGCCUACACAAACAUGCAGCCACCAUAGUAAAGUUCUUGCAAAGACAUUCUACACAAACUUGCCCAAAGGCGGAAGGAAGGCACGCACAGAUGGACGCACAGAAAUCAUGGGGCUGCCGUAGAAGCUGUGAAUGAGCAUUAACCUACGUACAGAAAGGAGCGAAGUGGAGCUGUCCAUGGGCCGUGCACACAGUUUCAUAAGCAGGCUUGCAACACUUUUGACAAAUAUGUUCCUGAAUACAUCUGCCAAAGUGGCAUUUAAAGAAGCAUGUAGUAGUGUACUUCACUGUUUAUUUGGCAUGAAGCAGCAGGUAUGCUUCCGUCAUCAGCAAGUUCACACAGUACAGUGCAUCUACACAUGGCAUGCUACCCCCACAUCUACCAGCUCGGGAUGUGUAGCUUGAUUGUAAAAUGUUUACUUUGACUUAACACAACAAUUAUUAACAAAAUGACAUGAAAGUUUUGCCACCUAUGCAGGCGACAUUCUCAGUAUACGCUGCCAAAUAUAAGCGGAGUUUGACCAGUCCAUUAGUCGCACAUUUCCUUGUAAACAUCUCGUAGAGGGCUGCUGUUGUUGUUGCAAGCCAAUGCGCCGUGAUGAAUGAACCAUGAUUCCAAGAUUUUUUUCCUCCGACCUUUGUACACGAGGUAGCAUCGUCGAAUUGAUUAGGUCAAAGUUAUGCCUUGUCAUUCAGCAGCGUUCAACAAGCUCCGUCUUAGAACAUGUUGCAUGGGUGGUUUUCGCAACAUCCUCUUUGUGUUCUUUAACCUUCGAUUACCUUCUUCAACCCAUUUCGCCUAUGCAAGUUGUGUCGCAAUCCCCACAUUGUACUUCGUAGAUGAUCCCGCUCUAAUCUUCGGCGGUGUUUGUGUAUACCUUGUCCUUAGGACAUGUGUUCACAAAGCCCAAAGACCGCACACCUGCGGAUGAUUAGAGCAGGGUAUUCUACAGAGUACGUUGUGGGGUUCACGACACCACUUACAUCGGCGAAUUGGGCAGGAAAAUGCCAAAGACGUUCAAAGAACACAAAGUGGGAAUGUUGCUAAAGCCACCCAUG